Molecule: transfer RNA, 72 nt
Filed under: Capra hircus (goat)
Lineage: Eukaryota; Metazoa; Chordata; Mammalia; Artiodactyla; Bovidae
Also listed under: 1 other name
Rfam family: tRNA
About the family: Transfer RNA (tRNA) molecules are approximately 80 nucleotides in length. Their secondary structure includes four short double-helical elements and three loops (D, anti-codon, and T loops).
Source: Rfam by way of RNAcentral
UCCCUUGGGGCUUAGCUGGUAAAGAAUCUGCCUGCAAUGCGGGAGACCUGGGUUCAAUCCCUGGCUCGGGAA